Molecule: long non-coding RNA, 833 nt
Organism: Capra hircus (goat)
Lineage: Eukaryota; Metazoa; Chordata; Mammalia; Artiodactyla; Bovidae
Exons: 3
Source: RefSeq, a predicted model, not a curated record
GUGCGCGUUCUGAGUCUGGGCGGGGCCGGGGGUCGCGCAGGCGCGGCCCUACCCGGCGGGGAGUGUCACGGAGGCUCCCCUGGGAUCCCGGUCACCAAAACUCCCGCAGGCCUUUCCCCGGGGAGACUGGGGGCCUGUUACCAGCAGUCGCCGCCCAGCCUUGACUGCCUGGGUGAAUCAGGUGCUAAUCAGAGCUUUGGGCUUGGCAGCUCCCCUGUCUGGGUUUUCUGAGUGCGCCCGAUUUAGGCCGGGUGGGGGGAUUCCUACGGCCCUGCCCCACCCACGAAGACCGAGAAGGCUCACCCGGUGGCGAAAGGUGGGCUCGGUGACUCAUCUCUGGGAUGACCUCACCUCCCGACCCCAGCGGAGCAGAUGUCCGGAUUUGAGACCUCAUACCGUGACUUUGGACGGCUAGUGCGUUCCCUUCUUCAGAUUAUAAACUGGCUCGAGUAGGUGCAUGGGUGUGUUGAUUCAAGUGCUUCUGGAAAGCCCCUUCCCUUGCUAAGCACCACGAUCAUGUCCACAUCGUGUUUCUGCCUGGAGUGGAAUACUCUCUAACACAACUGUUCAGAACAGCCAAGCCAGUGGAGCAGGAAGGCCUCUGCUCUGUGGUUGUUUUAUUCAAGCCGCGCAUGAAGGUUCUUUCUGUUAUAAAGCCCAGUCACUGCUCUGCAGGGAGCACAGUCUUACGUGUCCUCUGCGGCCCAGUUUCCAAGCUCUGAGGUGGCAUGUUCAUUCAUUCGACUAACAUUUGUUGAAAGCCUACUGUGUUCUACGUAUUGUGCCAGAAGCUGAGGAUACAGAAAUAAAAACAAAACUGUUCCCAUCCUUAA